This 346-nucleotide ribosomal RNA is filed under the name uncultured bacterium. RNAcentral describes it as "partial 16S ribosomal RNA". It matches the Rfam family "Bacterial small subunit ribosomal RNA", at positions 338 to 676 of the family's 1533-position model. The record is from RNAcentral.
CCUACGGGUGGCAGCAGUGGGGAAUAUUGCGCAAUGGGCGAAAGCCUGACGCAGCGACGCCGCGUGAGGGAUGAAGGUCUUCGGAUCGUAAACCUCUGUCAGCAGGGAAGAACGGUCACGGUGCUAAGCAGCAGUGAAUUGACGGUACCUGCAAAGGAAGCACCGGCUAACUCCGUGCCAGCAGCCGCGGUAAGACGGAGGGUGCGAGCGUUAAUCGGAAUUACUGGGCGUAAAGCGCUCGGAGGCGGUAUGUCAAGUCAAGGGUGAAAUCCCCGCGCUCCACGUGGGAACUGCCUUUGAAACUGGCAAACUGGCGUGUGUGCGCGGAUAGUGGAAUUCCAGGUGU